AUACGUAGGGGGCGAGCGUUGUCCGGAAUGACUGGGCGUAAAGGGCUCGUAGGUGGUUUGUCGCGUCGUCUGUGAAAUUCCGGGGCUUAACUCCGGGCGUGCAGGCGAUACGGGCAUAACUUGAGUACUGUAGGGGAGACUGGAAUUCCUGGUGUAGCGGUGAAAUGCGCAGAUAUCAGGAGGAACACCGGUGGCGAAGGCGGGUCUCUGGGCAGUAACUGACGCUGAGGAGCGAAAGCAUGGUGAGCGAACAGGAUUAGAUACCCUGGUAGUCCAUGCCGUAAACGGUGGGCGCUAGGUGUAGGGGUCUUCCACGACUUCUGUGCCGUAGCUAACGCAUUAAGCGCCCCGCCUGGGGAGUACGGCCGCAAGGCUAAAACUCAAAGGAAUUGACGGGG
Molecule: ribosomal RNA, 398 nt
Filed under: uncultured bacterium
Lineage: Bacteria
Description: partial 16S ribosomal RNA
Rfam family: Bacterial small subunit ribosomal RNA
Source: RNAcentral